Molecule: long non-coding RNA, 17413 nt
Filed under: Gallus gallus (chicken)
Lineage: Eukaryota; Metazoa; Chordata; Aves; Galliformes; Phasianidae
Source: RNAcentral
UACAUCUUAGUCUUGUACCUGGCUUUUCUUCAAAGCUCCAUGAAAAGACAAAAUGCUUCGGUAUUCCUGGUCAGGCUUUAGCAAAGUCUGUCUGGAAGGGAUGAUCCUGAGAUACUCAUUUUGGUCGAGGAUGCUGCUGCUUCUAAGACUGCCUACUACUAGAGAAGCUAACAUUAAAUAGAAGCAUUCUUAAAUAUUUUCUUAGCAUAAAAGGUUGUUCUGACCAAAACAGUCUAUGUAGCAGUGGUAUCUGUGCUUGUGUCUUUAUGUAAGAAUAAAUACAAGCAGAGACGUGUAUGAUUUUUUUUGUUUUUCUUGAUUUAAUUUAAUUCUUCCUCGAAGGGCGUAAGAACAAUAUGUAGCUUAUUAAAUGGUAACAAUAGCAACUCUCGAUACCAAUGCAGAAAGAACAGCUUUACUGUGUGGAGAGCCCUUGUACGAGGGCUGAAGUGGGCAUAAAGCUGAUAACUUGCCUUUUUAACUGGAUGCCUUUUCUUCUACAUCUCUGCAUCAGUACAGCUGAGCACUGGGUGACUGUAGUAACUGAGGAAAAGAACCAAGGGCCCUUGGGGCAGCAAGCUGAAUGUGAGUCAGCCAUGCAUCAUAGCAGCAGUGAAGGCUAACCGUAUACUGACAGAAUUAGCAAGAACGUAGCCAGUGGGCUGGGGGAAGGGAUAAUUUCCCUGAAUUCAGGGCUUGCAAGACCACAUUUAAAUACUGUACCCAGUUCAGAGCAGCCCAAGAUGAGAAAGGUAUCAUUAAGCUGGAGAGAGUCCAGUGGGUGGGUCCUUAAGGAAAUCUGGGAACUGGAGAAAUGCUGAGGAGAGGCUGGGGUACAGAAUUUAUUUAGCAUACGUAAGCUGGAGGGGCAUAUAUCUUCAGUCUCUUACCAUCUUAAGUGGAUCUUACAGAACGCGAAUCCAGAUACUUGCCCUUCUGCUGUGCACCUCUGAAAAGCAUCUGUUGCAGCAAGGGAAAUUCUACCUGUACGCAGCCUGUGGACCGUGAAAGCAGUUUUGUUGGAGCAGAUUGCUUAGAGGGUUUAUGGAAUCUCCAUCUUCGUAGACAUUUAACACUUGGCAAGGUUCAAAGCGAGAUAUAAUCCAGCUUUGAAGUUAGCCUUGCUUUGAGCUGGGUUGAACUAGGUGACCUUCAGAGAUUCCUUCUGAUCUAAGUUCUUCCUUGAGUCUGUUCCCUGAGAUCAGUAGCUCCUCCACAAAUAAAUGAUGUGGAUCAGGACAGUCCUUACUAGCUCACGUUUCACUGUUGUAGCCUUUAUGGAGAGAUCAGCAAGCUAGCUUUAUAAGCAGUGACAGUGAAUGGCAGACUUUUGAAGGGAGCGUACAAUAAAUAGAUUAUUGUUUGGCAGCAGUUGGUGGUUAUCUGGCAGAGUUAUUUAGUGAUUCUGCUUUCGUAGUUAAAGCAGUAAACCAGUUUUCAUGAAUGAGAAAUUGCAAAAAAUUACGAGCAAUUGAGAGUGGUAUUUGGAGCAUUAGUAGAUUGGAUUGGCAAAAUAUCUUAAGUUUGUCAGAGGGUUCUGUUGCAAGAGGCAGUUCAGAAGUAAUCUGCUUUGACCUCUUUUCAGAAGCAAGGUUAAAGAAGUGAGUAAUACUCUGGGAAUGAACAGUACAAUGUAUUUUCUUCUCUUCACCUUGCCAGUAUGUAGCUCUUGGCAGUGCUGGUUUUUUUCUGUCACAUGUUACUUAACAUAAGCAACAAAUCCAGCUCUAAUAGCAAGCCAGAUUGUAUCAGUAGAUUACCAGUGCUCUCCUUACAAUCCUUGAAAGCUCUGGCCUAAUCGCUUAUCUGAUCUACUUUCUGUCUUUUUUGAAUUGGUCUGAAUAAGCAGUCAGUGUCAGUGAAGUUGCAGGGAAAAGCCAUAUUCCUUUUCCUCCUCUUUUGGCACUGUUUUUAGUGCUUGUAGGUAUAAAGAAAACAGAAGCUAUUUAUUACAGACAGUGAUAUCUCCUGUGAAGUUUUGUGUCCUUCCAUGCACUUUACCUCCAUAUCCGUUUCUGUAACAACCUGUUCAAAGGCUUCUAUCAUUGAUCUUCUCAUUGAUCUACUUAAUCUUCUCCCACCCGAUGUCUCCUUUCUUUCCCAGAAGUUCAGCAGAGUUCUGGAUGCAGAAAAAUCAAAACUGUCAAACUAAGGAUGUUUCUGCUCACGUGUUUUCUUUUUGAUAACACUCCCCCACCUCUUGCCUUUAAAACUGCAAUUCAGUGUCUUAAUCUUGAUUAUCCUUUUGUCUGAGAAGGAGCAUGUUUUAAAGUGUAAAGGGCUUUCAUAAGUUUUUCUGUUGUGUAAAAACCUACGCAACCACUUAAUUGUAUUUGGAACUGUCCUAAUCUCUUCUCAGACUGACAUCUUGCGUUUUAAUGCUGAUAGUUAAUCAGUUUGUGGUGCUUUAUUUUAUUAUUUUGGUUUGUGGCUUGUUGUUUUGGUUUUGUUUCUCUUUUAAACAUAGCAUUGCAAGUAGAAACCUCUUCUCCAUGCAUAGUCCAAGUAUGGCUGGAUGUUGGAGGCUAUUUGACAUCUGAAUUAUUAGCUUACACCUGUUCUAGAAAUGAACAAUGCUGUUGAAAGGUAUCCUUAGAUUAAGAUAAGGUUGUAGACAGAUGAACUGGUCUGAAGGUACUGAAGAUCAUUGCUUCUAAUUACUUGCCUUUUUUUUGUUUUCCUCCCCACUGUUUGUGUUCUCCUGUGUCCCCCUCUCUCUCUGUCUGAUCUGCCAGCACAACUGUUCUACGUUGUUGCCCUCAGUCUCCUGUCAAAAUCAUUUGGGUUGUGUUACCUUGACAGGAACAAGUUAGACAGUGACUACAGCUGCAGCUUUCCAGGCAGGUUUGAGAGGUGCUGUAGCCUGGAUUGGGGUAAUGGGAGAGACUGAUAUGAGCCACUGGGUCCUCUAGCAUCUUACGCCUAGCUUAGCAACAGUAUGGAGCCUGUCUGACUGUAGACUCUGUGUCCACCUUGGAGAAGCUGCUAGAGGCUAGGCAUUGCGUUUCCCAUUCACACUCAGCAUGUCUUUCCUGUGCGGAUGAGCCACUGGACAUUCAAAGUGCCUCUCUGUUGUUUUGAAAACAUUAGUUAUAUGUUCUGUCUAGAAAGUAGGCUUUUUAAGUCAACAAAUUAUUUUCAGAAUGGAGUAAGUAUUAGGUUUAAUUAGGAUUUACUUAGUCAUUUAUUCUGCAGAGACUGAAAUGUCUGCAGCAACCUCUUAUCUCUUGUGGUAUCUGUACCGGUGUUCUUUCAUGUUGGAGCAGGUCUUCACAUUGGAGGCAGACAGAUUUAGUAGCUUUUUAUCUGCACUAGACUAUAUCUUUUAAGUCUCUUUGGCCCUCUGCCGAGUCUUAGACUAAGAUCUAGACCUACCCAGGGAUUUGAGCUCUUAAGUUUGUUCAAACUUCAGUAUCAGUUGCGAGCAUAAAUGAUUCUCAUGACAUUCAGUGUGUGUUCUCUUAGUUCCAGAAGAACUCUCCAAGCAACAGUGUUAUAAAUGUGCUUGGCUUGAUCGAUCUUUACUUAUUUGCCAGUCUUUGGCAUAUGCUUAUUUUGAAGGAAGUAAGGUAAUAUGCCAAUACACAGCAUAUGCGUUACACCUGUGAGUAGUCCAGUCCUCGGUCUGUUGAUUUUACAGAUAAUCCUCUUACAAGGGAGAGGAAAGUGGUUGAAGUACUUCAACUGUAGAUCUUCUGUUGUUCAACAAGAGACAGGGCAUUUCUGUUGGGGCAGAGGGAGAUGGCUUAUGGAUAAAAGGUCUGAUGUUUUAAACUACGGUUUUGUUUUUCUCUGUUAGCUCCCGAAGCCUGCUUUAAUUUGGAGGCUUUUGGCCCUGAGGUCAUCUUUGCUGUUGCCUAGAGAUGUACAACACUGCUUCUUCGCUUCUUGCACGUUACUGAAGGAAGGUUUACUGCUCACCUCGAAGGAAUGUUUAGUUGGCAUGUCCAUAGGGUAUCUGUUCUAUUGCUUGAGCUGUUGAGCUGGCAUUGCAGGAGUAUAUAGCUUCAAAUUAGCAUAAGGAGUUCUUGCCUCUUUUGGACAUAAGAACUACUGAGUCUGUAGUUUAAAAGUGUUUUAUUAAAACGUUGUUCUCAGUACAUUUCUUUCAAGUGGAGGGGGACUGAGUCUUCCCUCCCUGUAGCUCCCCUAAUUUCUUUCUAUACCAAAAUAGUUGGGAGGAUUAAUUAAAAUACUGACGUUUCUUUUACUUUGUCCAAUCAAGCUCAGCUUGUGAAAAGCUCAGAUAGACGGAAUAGCUUUAUGCUGACUUGGUGGUUUGGCAGUUGCUUUGCUUAUCGUUUGCCAUUGUGUGAAAGAUCUGGUAAAAUUCUAGAUUUCCUAUUUGUUAAUUUAUUUCCUUUUGAACUGUUAUCGUCUCAUGUUGCAGCUGCAAUUGUUGCUGCCAACUGUAAUACCGCUUCAGCCUUAAAUAUGACUAAUGUCUGUGCUUAAUACUGUGAAGAUAUAUAAUCUGUCCUUUUUUUUCCAGUAAAAUUGGAAGUCAGGAGUGUUUCAGUAUGCUGCUUUUACCACUAGCUGUAUGAAAAUGUAGUUUACCCUCUGAGAGAGUUUCCUUUCCUGGAAAAAUCCUUGGAACGAGCAGCACAGGGACAAGUGAAAAAGUCUGUGCACUAUUAAAACCUACUGUCUCGGGCUUGAGAGUAAAAAAUAGAUGUACUUGCUGUGCAAAGUCCCUCUCAAGGUUUUUGACAGUGGUGACGUUUGGGAAUCCAGUGUGGUGAGGAUCUCAGCACCAUCCAGACAAAUAAAAGGAAAUCUGCCAGUUUCCAUUGCAGUUUGUUUAUUUAACAACUAUGUGCCUGUGAGGAAAGUAAUGGAUUUAUGAGUUCAUGUUUUCCAGCAAACUCCUGUCUUGGGGACUGGGGGUAAGAUUGAUCUUCUCUCUUGCCAGAAGAGUCUUUGACCUACAAACAUGAUUGUCAAUUGCCUACUGCAAUUUUUGGUGAACUAUUUAUAGUUCUCUGUUACAUGUAAUCUGUAUUCACUCAUGCAGAUAUUACUUAUUACAAAAGUGUAGAAUUAAAACAAGUAAAAACCAAGUAAAUAUCUUUUUCUUUUUAAGGUAUUGUUUGUUUCUGACUAAUUCUGUUCUUUUAUGAGGGGAAAAAGCUACAAAAAUCUUACGAACUUCAUGAAGAGCUUGUCUAAAGACCAAAUGCAGAUACACAAACUAGUAUUUCAAGCUGGUUUAUUCCUAAUAAUUAUGAUCUCUUGAAUUGAUGUGGUUAUAGAGUAAUGGGGAUGAUUAUUCAAAAAAGGAUUUAGAUAUAGCUGUAGGGAUACUUUAUAAAAAUAAAGGUACGUAAAACACUUUAUAUACCACCGAGAUAGUUUAAAGCAAUAAAGAAAAUUACACUUCUGGUAGAAAACGUGUACGUAUGUACCAACCAGUAGUCUGCUUGUGGUAGACCAGAUGAAGUCACUGAACAUAGCAGCUCCAAGGAGAAACCACUGGAAAACUUCUUUGCGCUGUCAUGAUGAUAGUGAGUGAAUAAAUAUCCUUACCAUAAACGUUCCUGUGGUAUGAAAGAGGCUUUGAAUGUUUCUCAAGAUGGGGAAUAAAAAUGAUGCCGUGGAGAGUAAUUCAAAGACCUAAUUUCUUUUAAAUCAGGAAUCCAGCUUUAUUCAUCUCAAUGUCAAAUACUGUGGAAAGAGUUUUAAUGUUUUAAACUUUUUUUGUCACAGUUCAAGAAAGAUAAAUAGUUCGAGAUACUAACUGACUGAUUAUAAGCAGGAAAGCUGAAGUAGUACUGUGUCUGUAAUAGGGACUUCAAGUGACUUCAAGUAUGGACUGCUGCCGGGGACAUCAAGUGACUUCAAGUAUGGACUGCUGCCGGGUACUUCAAGUGACUUCAAGUAUGGACUGCUGCCGGGUACUUCAAGUGACUUCAAGUAUGGAUUGCUGCCAGAAUCUUGGCCAAAAGAUGCUUGGGAAAAUGGCGAUUCCUCUGCUUUAAUCAUGAACAAGCUGAAGUGUCCACACUGUAAUUAUGUAGCCAAAUACAGAAGAACACUAAAGAGACACUUGCUCAUUCACACAGGCGUGAGGUCUUUCAGUUGUGACAUCUGUGGGAAGCUGUUUACUCGAAGAGAGCACGUCAAGAGACAUUCCUUGGUAGGUAGCAUCAAUGUGUGUGUGCAAUGCGUGUGUACAAGUGGAGUCUUCACCUACAUUUGUUGUAGUGUAAAUAAAUUGGAUGAAGAUAUAUACCUAUUUAACAACUGACUCUCAUUAUUUCUGGGAAAAUGCAGUAUCAAAAAACGCUGAGGGAAAAUGUCAAGGUAAUUUCAUAUUGUUGAGAAGAUGAUGGUAUUUCUCCAAGCUGUCAUCUUAAAAGUAAAAAGUAAAAUAUAAAAACAAUUCUUAUUUUACAACAUGUUUUAAACCUGCUUCCUUGUGAAGGUGUUCCUCUAGGUCUCCCUAGCCUCCUUGCAAUUGGCUUCGUGUUCCCACAUGAGUAGAGAAUGCUGCUUGCUUCUGGGUUUUAAUCUGAAUGAAGUAAAGAGCUGCAAGUCUUCCCAGCUUUCCUUCCUAACCUGUUAUCAUAAAAUACACUUUACGUCAGCCAGUAAUAUUUUUUAAAGUCAUUUAAGAAUCCUUUUUUAAAACGAUGACUUGAGUCAUAUAAGAAUGUAAUUCUAGAAGGUAUUGAAGAACAGGAGGGGGUAUGACUUUACAUGAGUGGAUAGUGAUAGGACAAGGGGGAAUGGUUUUAAACUGAGACAGGGGAGGUUUAAGUUAGAUAUUAGGAGGAAGUUUUUCACACAGAGGGUGGUGACGCACUGGAACAGGUUGUCCAAGGAGGCUGUGGAUGCCCCAUCCCUGGAGGCAUUCAAGGCCAGGCUGGACGUGGCUCUGGGCAGCCUGGUCUGGUGGUUGGCGACCCUGCACGUAGCAGGGGGGUUGAAACCAGAUGAUGAUUGUGGUCCUUUUCAACCCAGGCCAUUCUAUGAUUUUGUGAACAUAGUAGUUUUCAGAUUUCCUUGAAUUGUUCUACAUGUAGGCAGGUUAAUGUUAAUAGUUAGGAAGUCAAUCUUAGAACAAGUGUUCCUUACCUUCCACUUGAAUUCUCUCACCUUAAAUAUCUUUCCACCAAGAAACUGCUCCAUCUCAUCCUGGUCUGCUGUUGUUAUUUGGUGAAGAUACAAGUUCAUGAAGGGAGGACAUCAGUGGCUGUGUUGCUACCAAAUCUCUAGAACCGUGUCCUGUAGCAUGUGUAGGUGACGGAGGUGAUAACAGCAUGGAGCAGUUCUGUGACUCAGUAGAGGAAAUGAUGUCAUUAUUGCUUUGGUGGUAGCAGCAAUACCCUGUAGGUCUUGUAACAGGACCAGUAGAGUGGUACUUCAGGUUUCUGUCGUGCCGUAUCUGACGAGGUCUUGGAGAUAAAGAUGUUUACUCCAGGAAAGGAGAUGAAGUCAAACAAGGUGAAAAUCGUUGUAGAGUCAGUUCAGUCCUGUCUUAAUCCAUUGUGCACUGCAGGUUACAGAAUGCCAAUUCCUCCCCCACACCACACAGGGAACAUCUAAAGCAUUUUGCUUUGUGUGAAACAGUUUGGUAGGAAGUCUAGGUGCUGGAGAAAAAUGCAUCCUUUAUCUGCUGUAGAGAUUAAGAAGGACUAAAGUACUUAUUUGUAUCUUGGCCUAAUUUUGUUUUCAUCUUCUCUUAGUUACAUAGUCUCAAAUUCAUUCUUCCCUGUUCUUAAAAGCACAUCUGCAACUACUUUGUGACACUUGCUUAAUUGGCUACCUAUUAAGGUUUAUUUUCCUCAAGUUAUUUCACAGUAGUUCAGCUUUGCAUGCAGGCUCACGCUAAGGAAGAAGGUGAAAAUGGAGUGAAAAGAUAUUGAGCUUCGUUUUGUUUGACUGGCUCGUGGGAGUGGGGAGGUGGAAGAGGAAUCUUGCUCUUUCCUUUCCCACAGAAUUAAACUCUUGUUUGGUUGUAGAGCUUAAUAUUGUAAAGGUGAUUUUCUAAAUGGGCAGCGUGUCUAUUAUGGUACUGUGUGCAGCAUAAACUUAUGUUCUCUGUGCCAUUCAGUGGCUUUGUCUGAACAGUGAGUUUCCAACAGCUGUGUAUUGAACAGGCAGCUGUUUAGCUAUCCGCUGAGCAGCAAGGUGGUGGUUGGUUGUGAGAAUAGUUCAAGUGGAAAUGGAUCUCUAGUAGUACUCUUUCUCUGAACAGUAUUGAGAUAAUACAAAGUGGGUUUUUUCUAGUACAGUGUGCUUAUUUUCAGCUGUUAAUUUUUUUUCUCCAUAGGUGCACAAAAAGGAUAAAAAGUAUAAAUGUAUGGUAUGCAAGAAGAUCUUCAUGCUAGCAGCCAGUGUUGGAAUACGACACGGAUCUCGACGCUAUGGAGUUUGUGUAGACUGUGCAGAUAAGUCUCAGCCUGGAGGGCAAGAGGGAGCAGACCAGGUGCAGGACACAGAUUUCCCUAGGGAUGAAGAAUAUGAAGAAAAUGAAGUGGGAGAAGGUAACUAAAUUAUGCUAGUUGUGUGGAUAACCUUGAACUAUGCUUUGAUGGACAGAAUCUUAAUGGUGCUCCAUCUGAUCCAAGUUGGUAUGUAUUGAAAGAGACGAGCUUUACUGUUGUCCUUUCCAUCAGUAGAACAGUAACAUGAUGUUAAGACAUUGUUUUUGCUGAUUGAAGCUGAGAUGAGUUUGAACUACAGUUAUAUGGGAAUUAAAAUACCUUUUUUUAUCAUCAGUUUGUUUCAUUGGUAGUUCCCACAUUAUUGUAAGCCUGACAGAUGAUUAGUUUUCUCGGGGUGGGGAGGGUGGGUGCCUUUUCAUUUCUUUUCUCUUUCUUUUUUACACUGAAGAAUACAUCCUUAUUGUUCUAUACUGAAACAAGUAAUGUGUAAUUCUGGUGGGGUCCAAAGUAGAAAUUAGUUGGGCAAAGAUGAUAUGAAUGAAAAAGUAUUUUAAACGUUAAAGUAAUGUUCUGCUUUGUGAAUAUGUAAGUAUAGCAUAAAGAUUUUUCCAUCCCAUUUAUCCCCUUUAAAACCAUAGUUUACAAUUGGUAGAUCUGUCUAUAUAUAUAAAUAUAUAUAUAUAUAUAUAUCUGAAAUUCACCUAAAUCUGCUUUAUUAGAAUACUGCUCACUUAAUGCUUAGAAACUGGACCUGGCUCUACAUUCUCAAUGUAUCUUCCUUUUUCUGUUGGUUUUUUUUUUGUUUGUUUGUUUAUUUUUUUUCCUUGAGGUAUGAACUUAUUCUCUUGGAACUGAAUCUUCUUUUACUACUUAAAUCAUUUAUGUAUAUCUGGUAAAUUAUGACCAAAUUUGUUGUUAGACUGCAUACAGUAAAUUGAAAUAUACACUUGGUACACUACAGAAUUGUUGUGCUUUAUUCUGGUUAUAUUUGGAAAAGGAGGAUUUAAUAGAAAUAGUGUUAUUUAUAAAUAUUUGGUUAUUACUCACUGGCCUUAAUGUUCUGUUGCGUUGUGACAAUCAUUGUUUCCUUGGUAGCGAUGAACUGUCCUUCGAUGUUGCGUGUAAUUGCUCUUGGUAGGGCUGGAGGGAGAGUGAUGACCACUGCAGUGUGAUGCUGACUCUUCAGUAGGUGGUGUGAGACAUUUAAUGACGAUCUGAUCUUCUCAUGCUGGAGAACCAAACUGAUUUGUUUGACUGUGAUCUGCAGCACUCUGCUGCUAUCAGAUGUUACUUUAAAUAUAUUGCUUUGAUUGGAUAAACGAGUUUCCUAACAAUUACCCUAAAGAGACUACUCACAUUUCUUUACCAGUGUGAAAGGUAGGAACAAAUUUGCGCUGGAAACCAUCUUCCUCUUAAAUGCUGGCACUCUGCUGUAAUAAACAUCAUAGAGAAUUAAAAAGAAGUACCGCCCUUAGACUGUCUCCCUUAUCCUUCUAGAUGUUCUAAUUUGAUGUCCAGUAAUGUAUUUUGUUUUCUGAUAAAAUACAGAAUCACAGAAUCGGAGGGCUUGAAAGGGACCUCUGGAGAUGGAGUCCAACGCCCCUGCUGAAACAGGAUCCCUACAGCAGGUCACACAGGAAAGCAUCCUAGCAGGUCUUGAAUAUCUCCAGAGGAGACUCCACAGCCUCUGUGGGCAUCCUGCUCCAGUCCUCCGUCACCCUCACAGUAAAGAAGACUUUCCUCAGAUUCACGUGGAGCUUUCUGUGUUCUGGUUUGUGCCCACUGCCCCUUGUCAUGGCGCUGGGUACCACCGAAAAGCCCGGCCCCGUCCUCUUGACACCUGAUACCUUCCAAACUAAGUGAGAGUUGCUUAUAUGGAGCAAUGCUGUGCAAGAAGAGUUUUCAGAAAAGGGCUGUGCGCAUUUGAGAUGGACAAAUGAGUUCUCCCCUCUCUGUGGCUGUCUGCUGGGCAGAAAUGGUGCAGAGAGUGGGUUUCCUUGGUUUGGUCACCUGAAGCAGUGGUGAUGGCCUUCUAGAAAGAAAUACACAGAGCACUUCCUUGCAGGAAAUUAUGGUGCCAGACAAAAUGGAAUCACUAAAUUCACUUUGAUUAAAGUCUCUGUCAAAGGAGGUGUAAUGUCAGGGAGACAGACAACUUAGUGAUGCGUUUUGUGCCUAUGUGGAAUUAGUUAUGACACGUAUUUUUCAGUUGUAAUUUCAGCUGCAGCUUUCAGGCAAAAUGGAUUUUUUUUUUUCAGUGGCAUAGAAACCAUAUAUAUUUAAAUUAACAAAUAGGUCAUGCGGUCAAGUAACUUUCUGAAGUGAAACUAGUUUUAAAGCCAAAGAUGAUGCCUGAUAGUCAGCACAGUAAUGCAUCUGAAGAAGUAAGGGUUAAAAUAGAGAUGGUGUUACUUUGCAGGCUCAUAUAUUUCUGCAGAUGCGCAGUUGUGAGUUAUUUAUUACUUACCCCCCUUCCUUCUCUGCAGAAUGAGUAUUAUCAAAUGAAGUUUGAGGUUGUGGCAUCUGAUAGGUUUCUACUUGUUCACUGCAGUCAUUCUACUGAGCAGAAGAUGCUUUCUUUGCCUAGUUGGAGGUUGCUAAGACUUGUAAUAGAUUCCUUUAAGGUUGUGGCUGCCUGGUCAUACAAGUACCCCAUCUAUAACGUUUUUGCUGACUCUAUGCAGAUGCAGAGGUGUCUUCAUAAGACUGCCUUUUAUUGGCUUAUCCUUUCUAUUUUGUUGUUGUUAAAUCUGCUUGGCAACUAAUAUGGGAAAUGAAAACAAGAUACUCAACACCCCCACACCUCCUGCCAAAAGGAGGUGAAAAGGGAGAAAAACGUUGGAAACAGUGUGAUAAGAAAACAGUUGGGUUUUCAGUUAUUACAGUCCGGCGUAUUACUCAAACGUUUCAAACAUUUCACUGUGUUUCUCCGUAGCAUGAUUUGGUGACAGCCUUUUGAUGAAGACGCUAUGCAAGAAUCCCAGUUUUGGUUUUGUUGGUUGUUUCCAGACUAAUAGCACUGAGAAGUUCUUCUGGAGGUAUUUUACCGUACACUGCAGUCGUAGCAUCCAUCUGCACUGCGGAUGUCAUCUGUUAUCCCUUCUCUUAUUCUAUAGGUGUGUAUUCCUUAGAACUGAGAUUGGCCUUUUGUAUGUUUUCAGUGGAACGCUCUGUGAUAUUAACACUGUGGUAAAGGUUCGGUGCUAAAAAAGAAGUUGGUUUUAGUACAGAUUUUUUGUGAGUUUAUAAUGAAAUAUACCUUUUUUUGAAUAAGGAAAAUACAUGUUUGAAAUCCAGAGGCAGGAGAGGUGGUGAGCUGGACGCUUGGAGUUGCUGGAGAUUGUGUGUAAAUAUAUAAUACACUGGUUUUUAAAAGCAUUUUUAUGUUAAAAAAAGGUUAAAAAAAAAAAAAGCAUUAGGAGGCUCCUAUGACUUCAGCCAAUUUCAUUUUCCAAUUUCAUAAGCACUUUGUAUUUCACAUUACUGCAACUUGAACAGACGUUGAAAUUAAGAUAUACGUAACGGUUUGCUUGCCUGAAUUGGUUUGGAUUGGCCACUCUGGAACACGGACAUAAAUCAUUUCUCACACAUUGGUACGUAAACAGUUCCAGGAAUUCUCAUAAUUUGUGCCUCAAUCUCUAACUUACCGUACUGCAAAUAAAUUUGAAACGUAACUAUUUGAUUCAUCUGUUUCUCUGUGCUCUGCCUCCUCACCCUCCGCAAGUAGAUGCAGAGAGACUUCUUGGGAUGGAUAAGUGAUUAUGUACAAUUCUUUCCUGUGUAUAAUUUCUAGCGCAGAGUUGAUUUAUAGUUUAAGCUUCCCUCCUAAUGAGGCAGAUCUUGUUAAGAUAACAGAUAUCUCCAACCAUCCUAAAAACGAUGUGUACCUAAAAUUGGAUUUCAUGCAAACUUCAGCUCAAUUUUGAGCUGUCUUAAGGGAUAGGUGCUGAAAAGAUUGGAUCCCUUCAGAAAUGGUCGUGCUGUGUGCCUAAACCCCUUGCUGUGGUGUUUUGUUCCUUCUCUCCAGCCACACCAACCUCAGGUGCUUCGAAGAAGCGCUUUCACCUGGGAUUCUCGAAAGCUGCUGGAGUGGUUAAUGCCAGAUGUGUUUGAACCUCAGGCUUCUGUCUAAAUGGCUGUUUCUUUUGUUAGGUUAUGCACAAGUGGGUUCCUUCAGUUGUUCAGAAAGCCAUCAGCCCUUGGUCAGUACUUCUGAGGGACUGAGAACUUCUACAUUUUGUUUGCCUUGCAGAGAAAAUGCUAAGUUCUGCAUCCUGGAUAGAGAAGUCUGCUGUGUAAUACUAUGUGAUGCUUUCUUGUUUAAUUUAUGUAAACUAUUAUGUUUUGCCUAAGUAUGUUAGGAAAAGAACUUCAGAUUCAACAGCGUUAAUUUUUUAGAUGUAGUUAGAAAGGAGCAUUGAGAAAAAGAAAUAGGUGAAAACUCAGCAAAUUCAAUCAGAAAUGAGUAUCAGGACAGCAGAAGUGGUAGAUGAUGAACUACAGUUUGUAGGAAGAUCAUGGAAACUCAGUGCUGAGUGAAAUGUACUGGACAUGACUCGCAGCCCAGAGAGCUGACUGUGUGCUGGGCUGCAUCAGAGGAGUGGCCAGCAGGGCGAGGGAGGUGAGGCCUCACCUGGGGAACUGUGUCCAGAUGUGGAGUCCUCAGUACAGGAGUGAUGCGGACCUGUUGGAAUACAUUCAGAGGAGGGCCACAAAAAUGAUCCAAGGGAUGGAACAUCUCUCCUAUGAGGGCAGGCUGAGAGAGCUGUGGCUGUUCAUUAUGGAGAAGAGAAGGCUCCAGGGAGACCUGAGAGUGGCUUUUCAGUGUCUAAGGGGAGGCUGUAAGAAAGGAAUGCUGAAGCACAAAUAUUGGAGCUACAUUUGUUUUUUGUAUGUACUAUUUAUGUGACAAAACUUCCUUCAACGAUUACUUCAGACAGCACUGUCUUCAUACGCAUAGAGUAAGAUGGAAAAUGUAUUGUUUUCAUGUUGGGAUGCAAGAAGCAUUUUGUCAUCUCAGUCAUUUGUUAGAACCAGGCAACCUCAUAAGAAACAGUAAUCAUAUCUCACUCCUCAUCUCCUGAAAUGCCUCUGGUGUAAAAGACUUGCUUGUUAUCAGGCAGUGUGUGCUACGUUCUCCCAACAUACUGUGUCCUAUGGUUCCAGUGCAUUCAAACAAACCUUGAGCUCCUUUUUCUGGGUGUAGAUCUGAAACAGUUCAUCAGUAAAGAAGUAUGUCAUGAAAGAAGUCCUACCCGGUAUGUUUUCCUUGUGAUUCUCAUUGCUGAAAUUCAGAAAGUAUUUUUUAAGUGCUGUUUCAAUUGAAAGAUUCUUUUACUUUAAGCAGCUAUUCUUGUAUGGAACUCUCAUUUGGUGGGUGACCUACGUGUGCUUUUUCAUGUUGUCAUACCACAUUUCUGCAAGUUAUUCUCAGCAGCCACUUGAACAAUCGGACUGCUGAGGUCAUAGGAUAUAGCAUUAAUAUGUCUGUGCAGACAGCGGCUGUUAUCUUCUUGCCCAGAAAUCCCAGUAAUUGGAAAAGGAGGUGGAAAGGUUUACCUUUAAUCUGUGAUUAAUUGGAAUUUAGGUAGACAUUUGCUUUAAAAUCUUACAGAGGUGGUGAUAUGUCAAGGUAUUUAUAAACUGCACUGGAAAUACUUCACUAAUUAGGAUAAGUUGGCAGAAGUUACUACUGCUGUGUUUAACUCUGCUUAUUUCAAAUCUACUGCAGUUGUAAUCUCAAGGUCCUUUUUACCUUCAUUCCUCUGACACAAUUUGCAGCUUUAUCAUCUCCUGACACUGCAGAAACAGAAGGAUAUGAAUGCAUAAUGUUCCCAAAACAGCUGGGAAUCCCUUUUUUUGUGUGUGUGUGUUAAAAUGUGUUAUUCUGCCCUGGGUUCUUCCAAGAAUGCUGUUUUGCCCUUUCAGGAAGAUGUGGAAAGAGAUGCGGUGCCCACAGUAUGCAGGGGGAAGAGGUGGUUAGCUGGUAGGAAUCGCAGAGCUUGGUGCUGGAAGUGGGCUUCUCCCCUGGAGUAUUCAUUUUGGAGUCUGCAUGGCAGUAUAAGGAGACCCCCAGGCAGUCUGAGCUGAUACAGUGAUUUUUGGUGGUUGUGCACCACGUAAGUAAAUAGGCCCUUGUUUCAGUGCUGCUUAACCGUAGUCGUUGUUGUUUGUACUGCUUGAAUAAUAUGAGCUACCGAAAUGUUACGGUCUGAUUACAGCAUUUGAUGGGGCUUCCUAGAAGCCCUGUUGUCCAUUUGUGCUAUGGCCAGCCUGGCAGUCCAAAGGAAGUUUUCACCUCUGCACAUCUCUGCAGUUCUGUCAGUGUGUCUGUCUUCCUUUUCGCACUCCUAAGUACUGGGAGAAACACUUCUUAAGAACCGAAGCAUUGGAGUACCUGCGUAAAUACGUGGCAUCUAAUGAGUGUUAUUGGAGGUUCCUUCUCUUUGAUGUAUGCUCAGAAAAGAAUCUAAAACUACGUGUGGUUUUAAGUUGCCACAUCAAAUAGUUUAACUUGAGAGUCUCAUCAUUGUGAUGGAUCGUGACUCAUUUCUCAUCACAGGCUAAAAUCUCAAACAAUCGCUCUCUAAAAAUCGCUCGUACCUCUUCAUCUUGCACCAAAUACUUCUAUUUCUAUUCACAGUUUGGACUUUCUUUGCUCCUAACCAUCUUUUUUUUCUUUUUCUAGUUCUGUGAGCUGGCAAUAAGGCCCAUGUAGAUCCCACAUACUUUCUUUGCUAGAGAUAUGAAUGCUCCAGAAAGGAGUUCUACAGGACAAAUCCCUCAUGGAGUUGGGGAGAGCUGUCUGUAAGGCUUGAAACGAGCUGACAGUUGCAAAAAUGAUUGAUUUAAUUAGCAUGAGCUAAAAAAUAAACAAUAGAAGGGAUUUUGCCAUUCUUUAAAUAAGUAUCUCCUGCUGGGCUCAAGGGUUUUGCUGCUUUUUUUUUCUUCCGUAGUGCUGCCUUGCUUUUUUUUCUGUUACUGAUGGUUAUUUGCUUUUCCCAUAUCUACUGAAAGUUAAAUGGUUACAGUCAAUGUUUGGAGUGGUCAUGGACAAACAACUCUCACUGAAAACUGUCUGCAAAUGUUGUGAAUCCUAUAGAGAGCUGACGUGCUGGAGCUCUUAAUAAAUAACCCGUAAGCAAGCAGUGCCUUUUAGUUUUGGGUUUGAUGUUGGGUUUCUUGAGCAACUCUUCUAAAAUAUUUUAAGGGAAUUGUCUUAAAAUGUAGUUUGAGGUUCUAUGUAACUUGCAUUGGAACUAUAUUGAGCUAACAGUAAACUUCUGAAAGUCAUUUUCAUGUGGGUACGUUGGUGUUGAGCUCUUGGAGCGGUGUGUGCCCAGGAGAUGGCUGGGCCUGAUGGAGCCGGCCAGUCAGCUCUGCAGUGAGCAGGAAGCAGUGAAAAUACAGCAGGAGAGGGAAUCCCAGCCUUCACACAGCAGGGAGGAGCACCCCUGCUUAGAAGAAUUCCUUUCCCGGUAAAACUGCAUGGAAUUGGAUGUGUGCGGCUUUGGAAGGUGCAAGGGCUGAGUCAGCCCUGCUGGAAUUUGAACUUUUGUGCUGGGGUGCUCAGAGAAGUCUGAGCUUUUAUGCCUCUCUCUCCUAACAGUACAGGAGAGCUUUGUUAGCACCUUGUAGCUUUAUCUGCAACCUGUUGUUGCAGUGUGAAGGCUGGAUUUUUGUCUUCAAAUUACCUGAUUUAAAUUCUGAAUUUGAAACAACAAGAAGAAAAACACCACCACACCUGCUUCGGCUUUGAACAUCCAGUUUGAAGGACACCCUGUGUGAAGCCUGUGCUGUACAGAAUUUCUGUAAAAAGAAGGGGAAAAAAUAACCAAACCAUUGCUUUGCAGGUGCUAAAAUAAAGGUUCCUAGGCAUCCGUGUCAGGCGGUUGCAUGCCAAACCGCGUGUCUUUAGGCACCACUCUAAGUAUGAGUAAAACGUGAGACAGUGUGGCUGUAUCUUAAGAAUUACAGCAGGUCUUUGGGGCAGGUGAAGUAGAAAAACUCAAGCCAUCUGAAGCUCAGGCACCGAGGUGCAAAGGACCGUCCAACAGCCCUGCAACAGGGAAGGCUUGGCCAUGGUGCGCCUUCCUAAGCAGCGCUCAUCUUCUGCAGAGCACCGUUUCCUCCUGGCGUUCCCCCUGAGGGACACAUGAGCACAUACCAGCUGCUGUACUUUCUCUCUGGUGAGAGGAUUCCUGUUGCUUACCUUGCACGUCUUUACGUAACAUUGGGAAGAGUAUGGUAGUGUUGAGACUUCAGUUAUUCAUCAAGUCCUGCAUCAUAAGAGAUGGCGUACGCUCAGCCUUCUACAUUUGAUACCAAGCUUUAUCUUUUAACAGAGAUCACAUGAGAUAGCUGAUGUGGAUGGCAGAUUUGCUGACUUUUGUCACACCUGUAUUCCUGUAUUCCUUCUUGUCACUGGUGACUGAUAUUGUAGGUUUAUUGGUGCCUCAUAUCUUCUGCUGUUAUCAGCUAAAGAGCAAGGGUCAGGGAUUACAUUUCUGAUUUAAAUCCUUUUUAUGAUGUUUGCCUGCUAAGCUGCCAGUGUUAAUAAGCUACUUUAAGCUUUAUCAGUUUGCUACUGUUGUUAAAUAGAAGUGAGGUAAAAUUUGAGCUUGUCAUGGUGAUUUAAAAGAAAUAAUGAGAGAACUGGCACGUAUGUUGUGGAAGGGAUGAGUCUCCUUUUAUUCCGAGCUGUAGCUGAAUGGAACUUAGUGUACCUCGGCAGCUAUUUUCAGAAUAACAAAGAUUCAUUUUCUGUUUCUGUAAAAAUAAUCCAUGCCCAGUUCCUCAUGUAAUGAAAUCACUUAUUCUGAAAGAGCAUGCUUUGGGAAAGGGCUCUGAGGUACCUUCUGGUUGGCAGUGCUGCAGGCUGCGGAAGAGCAAAUAGAGGCUGCACCUCCAUCGGCUUCUCCUGAGGGAAAGGAAAUAAAAGCACCAUUUGUCAAGCCAAGACACUUUCCUUACUGCUCUGGGAGCUGCACAGUUGUUGUGUCCCAGAACAAACAACAGCA